GAGUUUGAUCAUGGCUCAGGAUGAACGCUGGCGGCGUGCUUAACACAUGCAAGUCGAACGAACCUUCGGGUUAGUGGCGGACGGGUGAGUAACGCGUGGGAAUCUGCCCUCAGGAGGGGGAUAACGGUUGGAAACGGCCGCUAAUACCCCAUAUGCCGAGAGGUGAAAUGAAUUUCGCCUGAGGAUGAGCCCGCGUCUGAUUAGCUAGUUGGUGAGGUAAUGGCUCACCAAGGCAUCGAUCAGUAGCUGGUCUGAGAGGAUGAUCAGCCACACUGGGACUGAGACACGGCCCAGACUCCUACGGGAGGCAGCAGUGGGGAAUUUUCCGCAAUGGGCGCAAGCCUGACGGAGCAACGCCGCGUGAGGGAUGAAGGCCUCUGGGCUGUAAACCUCUUUUCUCAAGGAAGAAGAUCUGACGGUACUUGAGGAAUAAGCCACGGCUAAUUCCGUGCCAGCAGCCGCGGUAAUACGGGAGUGGCAAGCGUUAUCCGGAAUUAUUGGGCGUAAAGCGUCCGCAGGCGGCUUUUCAAGUCUGCUGUUAAAACGUGGAGCUUAACUCCAUCAAGGCAGUGGAAACUGAUUGGCUUGAGUGUGGUAGGGGCAGAGGGAAUUCCCGGUGUACCGGUGAAAUGCGUAGAUAUCGGGAAGAACACCAGUGGCGAAGGCGCUCUGCUGGGCCAUAACUGACGCUCAUGGACGAAAGCCAGGGGAGCGAAAGGAAUUAGAUACCCCUGCAGUCCUGGCCGUAAACGAUGAACACUAGGUGUCGGGGGGAAUCGACCCCCCUCGGUGUAGUAGCCAACGCGCUAAGUGUUCCGCCUGGGGAGUACGCACGCAAGUUGAUACUCAAAGGAAUUGACAAGGGCCCGCACAAGCGGUGGAGUUUGUGGUUUUAUUCGAUGCAACGCGAAGAACCUUACCAGGGUUUGACAUCCUGCGAAUCUCUUUGAAACGAGAGAGUGCCUUUUGAACGCAGUGACAGGUGGUGCAUGGCUGUCGUCAACUCGUGUCGUGAGAUGUUGGGUUAAGUCCCGCAACGAGCGCAACCCACGUUUUUAGUUUCCAGCAUUUGGUUGGGCACUCUAAAGAGACCGCCGGUGAUAAACCGGAGGAAGGGGGGGAUGAGGUCAAGUCAUCAUGCCCCUUACAUCCUGGGCUACACACGUACUACAAUGCUACGGACAAAGGGCAGCAAGUUCGCGAGGACAAGCAAAUCCCAUAAACCGUGGCUCAGUUCAGAUUGUAGGCUGCAACUCGCCUACGUGAAGAAGGAAUCGCUAGUAAUCGCAGGUCAGCAUACUGCGGUGAAUACGUUCCCGGGCCUUGUACACACCGCCCGUCACACCAUGGAAGUUGGCCACGCCCGAAGUCGUUACUCCAACCCUUGUGGAGGAGGACGCCGAAGGUGGGGCUGAUGACUGGGGUGAAGUCGUAACAAGGUAACC
This 1445-nucleotide ribosomal RNA is filed under the name uncultured marine cyanobacterium. RNAcentral's name for it is "partial 16S ribosomal RNA". It matches the Rfam family "Bacterial small subunit ribosomal RNA". Lineage: Bacteria; Bacillati; Cyanobacteriota. The record is from RNAcentral.